GUGGGGAAUUUUGGACAAUGGGCGCAAGCCUGAUCCAGCAAUGCCGCGUGUGUGAAGAAGGUCUUCGGAUUGUAAAGCACUUUAAGUUGGGAGGAAGGGCAGUAAGUUAAUACCUUGCUGUUUUGACGUUACCGACAGAAUAAGCACCGGCUAACUUCGUGCCAGCAGCCGCGGUAAUACGAAGGGUGCAAGCGUUAAUCGGAAUUACUGGGCGUAAAGCGCGCGUAGGUGGUUUUGUAAGUUGGAGGUGAAAUCCCCGGGCUCAACCUGGGAACUGCCUCCAAAACUGCAUGACUAGAGUACGGUAGAGGGUAGUGGAAUUUCCUGUGUAGCGGUGAAAUGCGUAGAUAUAGGAAGGAACACCAGUGGCGAAGGCGACUAUCUGGACUGAUACUGACACUGAGGUGCGAAAGCGUGGGGAGCAAACAGGAUUAGAAACCCUUGUAGUCC
RNAcentral lists this ribosomal RNA (450 nucleotides) under uncultured bacterium. RNAcentral's name for it is "bacterial SSU rRNA". It matches the Rfam family "Bacterial small subunit ribosomal RNA", at positions 354 to 796 of the family's 1533-position model. The record is from RNAcentral.